Molecule: ribosomal RNA, 649 nt
Filed under: Paramytha ossicola
Lineage: Eukaryota; Metazoa; Annelida; Polychaeta; Terebellida; Ampharetidae
Description: eukaryotic LSU rRNA
Rfam family: Eukaryotic large subunit ribosomal RNA
Source: RNAcentral
CCGUGAGGGAAAGUUGAAAAGAACUUUGAAGAGAGAGUUCAAUAGUACGUGAAACCGUUUAGAGGUAAACGGAUGGGACCGCAAGGUUCCCCUCGGAAUUCAACCUUCCGCUCGGCCAUCGGGCGUUCGCACGGAUCCCUUAAAGACCGGGCGGCGUUCGAGUGGUCGUCGGUGGGCGCACUUUCCGAGGGACUGUGGCCAGGACAGGUUUUCGGGUGUCCAUCAGCCCGCUUCUUCAGGUAGCUGCCCUCGGGCAGCGCUUAGGGUGGCGGGUGGGCAGCACUCGGAUACCGAGGAACGACCGCCGUGGCGCGGGCACCUCCGUCUCUCGUCCGGUUCGACUGGCUAGGACUGUUCGCAGUGCUCGCCGACCGCCGGCCGUGCAGUGCGGGGGCCAACCCGCGUCGACUCAGGGUCUCUGGCCGUUUUCGUCGGCAUCCCAUCCGACCCGUCUUGAAACACGGACCAAGGAGUCUAACAUGUGUGCGAGUCACUGGGUGGCAAACCCACGGGCGCAAUGAAAGUGAAGGUUGGCUCUGGUCGACCCAGGUGGGAUCGCGUCUCCGUCCGGGGGCGCGCGCACCACCGGCCCGUCUCGAUCUCAACGCUAGAUGAGGCGGAGCAAGAGCAUACACGUUGGGACCCGAAA